This 427-nucleotide ribosomal RNA is filed under the name uncultured bacterium. RNAcentral's name for it is "partial 16S ribosomal RNA". It matches the Rfam family "Bacterial small subunit ribosomal RNA", at positions 355 to 774 of the family's 1533-position model. The record is from RNAcentral.
UGGGGAAUAUUGCACAAUGGGCGCAAGCCUGGUGCAGCCAUGCCGCGUGUAUGAAGAAGGCCUUCGGGUUGUAAAGUACUUUCAGCGGGGAGGAAGGCGAUAAGGUUAAUAACCUUGUCGAUUGACGUUACCCGCAGAAGAAGCACCGGCUAACUCCGUGCCAGCAGCCGCGGUAAUACGGAGGGUGCAAGCGUUAAUCGGAAUUACUGGGCGUAAAGCGCACGCAGGCGGUCUGUCAAGUCGGAUGUGAAAUCCCCGGGCUCAACCUGGGAACUGCAUUCGAAACUGGCAGGCUAGAGUCUUGUAGAGGGGGGUAGAAUUCCAGGUGUAGCGGUGAAAUGCGUAGAGAUCUGGAGGAAUACCGGUGGCGAAGGCGGCCCCCUGGACAAAGACUGACGCUCAGGUGCGAAAGCGUGGGGAGCAAACA